Molecule: long non-coding RNA, 1248 nt
Filed under: Cricetulus griseus (Chinese hamster)
Lineage: Eukaryota; Metazoa; Chordata; Mammalia; Rodentia; Cricetidae
Description: lncRNA (ENSCGRG00000024562.1)
Source: RNAcentral
GUUCGCAGUGGCCACUGCCUCAGCAGGGACCCGCCAGGAGCGGAAGGAAUUGAACGCCCGCCCAUCUCAUCAGACUUGGCCGCUCCCUCCUACCCCUCCUCCUCGCCCUCCCCCAGCUCGCUGCCUCCUCCUCCCGGUCCCCACAGGCUCUGCCUCGGGACUUGGUGCCAGCGACUCUCUGAGCCAAGCUCGGGCUCAGUGCGCACAGAGCACAGCAGGGCUGACGCCCAGGGCUUGCUCUGAGAUGGCAGUGAAGUUAGGAGACCUCUGAAAGACACUGCGACCCUAGGCUGAGCUGGAGAGCCUUUUGCUCCUCCAGGCAGGGACAUGGGGGACCCGUCCUACAGCGAGAAGCCGCGACUGCACUACGCGGAAAGUGAUGUCUCUGCCUAAUCUAUAAACUAAGGGACAGUAGAUGGGUGAAGACCAAGGAGUCAAAAGGCAUAGAAGAUGGAAGAAAAGAAAUGAACUUCUACUAAGAACAGUAAUAAAAGAGACCCUGCAGAGUUAUGAAGAGAAUGGUAGAUAUUUUAACCGAAAGUUACAGAAUUUUUACCUUUUACAAUACAUCAUGCUUUGGAAACCUGGUUGCCAUUUUUGUUAUUAAACCAUCCUGUUCUCCAUGUUCCCAGCCACCUACAAAUGUACACACAUCAUUUUCGGCUUAAUAGGCUGCCAGGAUGCGUUCUUAAUUUUUGACUCAGAAGCCAGUGAUAAGACCUUUGACCAAUGAAUACAUAGCUUAUAGUUCUAUUGUAAGAUAAUUCUAUCAUAUUUUAGGUCAGGGAUUGAUAGCUAACAAAGUCCACACUCAAUGUUAAAACUAUUCAAAAGUCCCUUAGGGUGUUCAUUGUGCUAGCAGAACAAAAAAUAUUCAGCUAUGGAAUGUCAUUCCUAUAUCUGAUUCCUUCACUACUCUGUUGAAUUCCACAAUAGCUCCUCCCCAUAGCCCUCCAAAUGGCCAAUAGCUCUUAAAAACAUAAAACUCACCAAUGGGGCAUAUAAACAUGCACAAAGUCAAAUUAUGUUCAUUAGGGAAUUGUAAUAGAAAAUCACAAGAAAUACUAGUUUAUAACCACCAGGCUAGCAACAGUGAGAAAGAUAAUAAAAAGUGUUGGCUAGGAUGUGAAGAAAUUAGAACCUUCACAAACUGCUGGUGGGGAUUUCAAAUUGUAUAGCCAGUUUGGAAAAUAGUCUGUCAGUUCUGCAGUAGCUUAAACAUGGAGUUACUAUAUGAGCUCGUAGUAC